GUGAGGAGACGGCGACUGGGGUAGCUGAGAGGACGACGGCUAUUCUCAGAGGAGCGGUAUAAGCCGGGACCCGGUGGAAGAGGGAGUUUAGAGCUGGGUCUAAGGAUUUAUGAGAAAAUAGGAAGAGCGGAGUGGCUGUAAAGAGGCCAAGACUGGGGGCGGAGGGGAUGGAGGAGAUUCUCGGGGACUGGGAAGGGGAGACAUUGAGGAAGAUGGAGGCCCUGGGCCUUGUGGGGAGGGGGAAAUCAAACCAACGGGCAUUUACUAAGCGCCUCUUUUGAGAAGAAAAAAGGAGGAAUCAUGGGCGGGGAGGGGGAGGCCAAGGAAUGGAUGAGGGGAAGGAGGGGUCAUGGACUUCAAGAGGGAGCCAAGACAAGGCGAAGCAUGGGGAAAUAGGAAAGGGGCUGAGAAGACGAGCCGUAGGGUCCGAGGGCCAGGGAAUUGUUGAAGAGGGAAGCUUGGGAAUGAAGGAGGACUGAGGGGAUCGAAAGGGAGAACUAAGGAAAAGAGAUAGAAGAUGGUGAAGGGGCUGAGGGGAAGGAAAAGUAAGGCGGCAAAGAAAAGGAGGUUAUGUGGGUGGGAAAAGGGGAAUGCUAAAGUUGAAGACGGCAUGGGAAUGAAGAGAAGUUGGAGAUGGGAAGGGUCUAAAAGAAUGGGAGGGGGUAGAUAAGGAUAUACAGAACAUAAGUCUAAUUAUGGUAAAGAAUCUGGCAGAAUGUUAGUGCAAAAGUAGUCAGUAACCAUAAAUAUAUUAAGCACUUUUUUUAGCUGCCUUAAUUACAAAAAUCAUUGACUAUAAAGAGACUCUUCUCUCAAUGUAAUUUAUAGUUUAAUGAUACUGGAAAAAGUUGAAGAGACUUUUUUUUAGUCUGUCAGGGUUCCAAUCUUAGGAUCAUAGAUUUAUAGCUGGAAGGGGCUUUAGAAGCUAUCUAGUCCAACUCCCUAAUCCUACAGAUGAGGAAACUAAUCUCCAGAGAGGUUAAGUGAUUUGCCCAAGAUCAAUCAGCUCUGUGAAGUAAGCUGACUAGAUCUGAGAUUUCAUCUGUAUUAAGGAGCUCUAGAUAAAGAAAAAGAGACUCAAAAGAGAAUGCAGGUUAGAACUCUAAAGAAAAUGUCUACUGAAUGGUCUUCUUGGACAAACCUAUCAACUAUUCAGAAAAUAGCACUGGGCCUUGGAAUCCCAGCCAGCCUGACUGUUGCGUAUAUCCUCUACCGAAGGUAUAGAGAAAGUCGAGAAGAACGGUUGACAUUCGUUGGGGAAGAUGAUAUUGAAGUGGAGAUGCGGGUCCCUCAGGAGGCUGUGAAGCUGAUCAUUGGCCGUCAAGGAACCAAUAUUAAACAGUUGAGGAAGCAGACUGGUGCUCGUAUUGAUGUGGACACAGAAGAUGUAGGUGAAGAGCGAGUGCUACUCAUCAGUGGCUUUCCUGUCCAGGUUUGCAAAGCCAAAGCAGCAAUCCACCAGAUCCUGACAGAGAACACCCCUGUGUAUGAACAGCUUUCAGUACCUCAGAGAUCUGUGGGCAGAAUAAUAGGGAGGGGUGGAGAGACCAUUCGUGCCAUCUGUAAAAGCUCUGGGGCCAAAAUCACCUGUGAUAAGGAAUCAGAAGGGACAUUACUACUAACAAGACUCAUAAAGAUCUCAGGAACACAGAAGGAAGUGGCAGCAGCCAAGCAUCUCAUCCUAGAGAAAGUUUCAGAAGAUGAAGAGCUUCGGAAGAGGAUUGCUCACUCAGCAGAAUCCAGAGUACAGCGCAAGCAACCCAUCAGUGUCAAGAGAGAAGAGAUAGCAGGGCCCGGGGCAGCUGGGGAGCCAGCCUUUCCUAAGGACAUGAGCACCAGUAAGAAGCUGACUCCCUCCCUGGCUGCCCCUCCUAGCCGAGGAGGAGGAGAUAUGGCUGGGCUGAGACUAGAACGGGUGGAACAUUCCCAUGAAAAAAUACUCAGCGACAACAGCUGCCAGGAGGAUGCUGGAGCCCAAGUCAGUCCAGAGAUGCCAAAGUUUGAAAUCCCCAGCCCUGACUUCAGUUUCCAUGCUGACGAAUAUCUAGAAGUCUAUGUGUCUGCCUCUGAAAACCCCAACCAUUUCUGGAUCCAGAUUAUUGGCUCCCGCAGCUUACAGCUGGACAAGCUGGUCAACGAGAUGACCCAAUACUAUGAGAACACUCAGUCACCUGAAGAUCUGACCGUGCACGUGGGUGACAUUGUAGCUGCACCUUUACCUACAGAUGGGCCCUGGUAUCGGGCCCGCGUUCUGGGUACCCUCGAGAAUGGGAACCUGGAUCUCUACUUUGUUGACUUUGGAGAUAAUGGAGAGAGCCCACUCAAGGAUUUGAGAGCCAUCAGGAGUGACUUCCUAAGCCUUCCAUUCCAAGCAAUAGAAUGUAGUCUAGCAAGGAUUGUCCCCUCAGGUGAACACUGGGAAGAGGAAGCCCUAGAUGAGUUUGACCGCCUCACUCAUUGUGCAGAGUGGAAGCCUCUGGUAGCCAAGAUUUCCAGCUAUGUGCAAACAGGGAUUUCUACUUGGCCAGAAAUUCACCUUUAUGACACAACCAACGGACAGAAUCUUGAUAUUGGACUAGAACUUGUGCGUCAGGGUUAUGCAGUUGAGCUCCCUCAAGAUGUGGGAGAAGGAGAUGCUGCUGUCCCUGAGAUGCUGCAGGAUAUAUUGGUCACAGAAACGGACACCUCUCUAGAUAGCCUGUUGUCUGAGGCCAAGAAAAGCCCUGGAGAGACACCACACACUCUCUCAUGCCUCAGUUUAUCAGAAGCUGCUUCGGUUUCUGGUGAUGAUGGUGUCCUUGCAGAAGAUGACUUGCUCUGAUGUCUGUGCUCUGGCUGGCUCAGCCAUCUGCCUGCUGUGUGAGUGGGGCUCUGAUUUGUGUCUUAUGGAGCAGGAAAACGGAAGUGGCAAGGUUUAUGGCAUGGGAACCUCUGGCUGGUCAGAAAAUUGAAUUCCAUAGAAGAUAACCCCACAUUUCCUCCUUUGUGAGCUACCUACUGAUUGACCUGCUGUGAGCCAAAUUCAGCUGCUGCUUUUCUAGCAGAAUGAAGGACUUUUCAGAAAAAGACUAUAAAUGUGUGUGCAUGUGUGUCUGUCAGAUGCUGCCUUAGAAGGAAUUCCCUUAGCACUGGCCACAGCCACUACCAGCAAUAAAAGCACUAUGCGGGGUAUUUGGUUGGAACUGGGAUGGAAAACAUUGGUUAGGGUUCUGGUAGUGUGGAAAUAAGGAACAUUCAGAAGUCUACUUCAUUUUCUGAGAUGACUUACUAGGAAAAUAUUUAAGUUGUAAUUAAGGAAGUUCUGAGCCUCCACGGGGUCUUUACAACUGUGGAAGAAGCAGGGUAGGAAAUCAACAGGGUUGAAUCAGAUACCCCAAGGAAAUUAGCAAGUAAUGCUUCCUCCCAGCUUCAGGUGGUGCCAUUAUUAUUGAAGGCAAGAUUUUUGAGACAGUCGUUUCCCUUCUGAAUCUAGGCGGUGGUGCAAGUCGGAAAACAAUGAGGGCUGGCUCAGGAACAUGUUAUAAGGUGCAAUGCCUUAGGUAGGUACACUACCUACCAUAUGUAUGUGCAUGAGUGUGUAUGUAAAAAUAAAGAGAACUCUGUAAGUCACUUAGGGGAAUCAUUACUAAAUAAAGUUUUGUUUUUAAAAAUGAA
This is an RNA transcript of Monodelphis domestica (gray short-tailed opossum), 3654 nucleotides long. It is a transcript of the gene named tudor and KH domain containing, with no coding region annotated. The record is from RefSeq and is a predicted model, not a curated record. Lineage: Eukaryota; Metazoa; Chordata; Mammalia; Didelphimorphia; Didelphidae.